RNAcentral lists this ribosomal RNA (335 nucleotides) under uncultured bacterium. Its description in RNAcentral is "bacterial SSU rRNA". It matches the Rfam family "Bacterial small subunit ribosomal RNA", at positions 466 to 793 of the family's 1533-position model. The record is from RNAcentral.
CGUUUGACGUUAGCGACAGAAGAAGCACCGGCUAACUCCGUGCCAGCAGCCGCGGUAAUACGGAGGGUGCGAGCGUUAAUCGGAAUUACUGGGCGUAAAAGCGCAUGCAGGUGGUUUGUUAAGUCAGAUGUGAAAAGCCCGGGCUCAAACCUCGGAAAUUGCAUUUGAAAAACUGGCAGACUAGAGUACUGUAGAGGGGGUAGAAUUUCAGGUGUAGCGGUGAAAAUGCGUAGAGAUCUGAAGGAAUACCGGUGGCGAAGGCGGCCCCCUGGACAGAUACUGACACUCAGAUGCGAAAGCGUGGGGACGCAAACAGGAUUAGACUACCCUGGUAG